RNAcentral lists this ribosomal RNA (429 nucleotides) under uncultured Cohaesibacter sp. Its description in RNAcentral is "bacterial SSU rRNA". It matches the Rfam family "Bacterial small subunit ribosomal RNA", at positions 29 to 505 of the family's 1533-position model. The record is from RNAcentral. Lineage: Bacteria; Pseudomonadati; Pseudomonadota; Alphaproteobacteria; Hyphomicrobiales; Cohaesibacteraceae.
AACGAACGCUGGCGGCAGGCUUAACACAUGCAAGUCGAACGAUCCUUCGGGAUAGUGGCAGACGGGUGAGUAACGCGUGGGAACCUACCAAUAGGUACGGAACAACUCAGAGAAAUUUGGGCUAAUACCGUAUGUGAUCUUCGGAUUAAAGAUUUAUCGCCUAUUGAUGGGCCCGCGUUAGAUUAGCUAGUUGGUGAGGUAAUGGCUCACCAAGGCGACGAUCUAUAGCUGGUCUGAGAGGAUGAUCAGCCACACUGGGACUGAGACACGGCCCAGACUCCUACGGGAGGCAGCAGUGAGGAAUAUUGGACAAUGGGGGCAACCCUGAUCCAGCCAUGCCGCGUGAGUGAAGACGGCCUUAGGGUUGUAAAGCUCUUUCAGUAGUGAAGAUAAUGACGGUAACUACAGAAGAAGCCCCGGCUAACUUCG